Molecule: ribosomal RNA, 301 nt
Filed under: uncultured bacterium
Lineage: Bacteria
Description: partial 16S ribosomal RNA
Rfam family: Bacterial small subunit ribosomal RNA
Source: RNAcentral
CAGCCGCCACGGUAAUACGGGGGGCGCGAGCGUUACCCGGAUUUACUGGGCGUAAAGGGCGUGUAGGCGGCCUGGGGCGUCCCAUGUGAAAGGCCACGGCUCAACCGUGGAGGAGCGUGGGAUACGCUCAGGCUAGAGGGUGGGAGAGGGUGGUGGAAUUCCCGGAGUAGCGGUGAAAUGCGCAGAUACCGGGAGGAACGCCGAUGGCGAAGGCAGCCACCUGGUCCACUUCUGACGCUGAGGCGCGAAAGCGUGGGGAGCAAACCGGAUUAGAUACCCCCGUAGUCCCUGUCUCUUAUAC